RNAcentral lists this ribosomal RNA (735 nucleotides) under uncultured Alphaproteobacteria bacterium. RNAcentral's name for it is "bacterial SSU rRNA". It matches the Rfam family "Bacterial small subunit ribosomal RNA", at positions 117 to 881 of the family's 1533-position model. Lineage: Bacteria; Pseudomonadati; Pseudomonadota; Alphaproteobacteria. The record is from RNAcentral.
GUGGGAACCUGCCCAGUGGUGGGGGAUAACUGCGGGAAACUGCAGCUAAUACCGCAUGAGCCCCGAGUGUCACAGCUUGGGGGAAAGAUUUAUCGCCAUUGGAGGGGCCCGCGUUCGAUUAGGUAGUUGGUGAGGUAACGGCUCACCAAGCCGACGAUCGAUAGCUGGUCUGAGAGGAUGAUCAGCCACACUGGGACUGAGAUACGGCCCAGACUCCUACGGGAGGCAGCAGUGGGGAAUAUUGGACAAUGGGGGCAACCCUGAUCCAGCAAUGCCGCGUGAGUGAUGAAGGCCUUCGGGUUGUAAAGCUCUUUUGCCAGGGACGAUGAUGACGGUACCUGGAGAAUAAGCCCCGGCUAACUUCGUGCCAGCAGCCGCGGUAAUACGAAGGGGGCAAGCGUUGUUCGGAAUUACUGGGCGUAAAGGGCGCGUAGGCGGCUUAUCAAGUCAGGCGUGAAAUUCCCGGGCUCAACCUGGGGGCUGCGCUUGAUACUGAUGGGCUUGAAUGCGGGAGUGAUAGUGGAAUUCCCAGUGUAGGGGUGAAGUUAUAGAUAUUGGGAAGAACCUGGUGGCGAAGGCGGCUAUCUGGCCCGUGAUUGACGCUGAGGAGCGAAAGCGUGGGGAGCAAACAGGAUUAGAUACCCUGGUAGUCCCGCCUUUAAUAUGAAUGCUAUACGUUGGCGAGCAUGCUCUUCAGUGUCGGACCUAACGCCUUAAGCAUUACGUCUGGCGAGU